RNAcentral lists this transfer RNA (58 nucleotides) under Eucalyptus grandis. It matches the Rfam family "tRNA", at positions 7 to 64 of the family's 71-position model. Rfam says of the family: Transfer RNA (tRNA) molecules are approximately 80 nucleotides in length. Their secondary structure includes four short double-helical elements and three loops (D, anti-codon, and T loops). Further hydrogen bonds mediate the characteristic L-shaped molecular structure. tRNAs have two regions of fundamental functional importance: the anti-codon, which is responsible for specific mRNA codon recognition, and the 3' end, to which the tRNAs corresponding amino acid is attached (by aminoacyl-tRNA synthetases). tRNAs cope with the degeneracy of the genetic code in two manners: having more than one tRNA (with a specific anti-codon) for a particular amino acid; and 'wobble' base-pairing, i.e. permitting non-standard base-pairing at the 3rd anti-codon position. Lineage: Eukaryota; Viridiplantae; Streptophyta; Magnoliopsida; Myrtales; Myrtaceae. The record is from Rfam by way of RNAcentral.
AUGGUCGAGCGGUACGACAGGGGACUGCAAAUCCCUUUUCCCCAAUUCAAAUCCGGGU